This 492-nucleotide ribosomal RNA is filed under the name Virgibacillus chiguensis. RNAcentral describes it as "bacterial SSU rRNA". It matches the Rfam family "Bacterial small subunit ribosomal RNA", at positions 64 to 526 of the family's 1533-position model. The record is from RNAcentral. Lineage: Bacteria; Bacillati; Bacillota; Bacilli; Caryophanales; Bacillaceae.
GGGGGGAAAAGGCAGAUCUCCUUCGGGAGUGACGCUUGUGGAACGAGCGGCGGACGGGUGAGUAACACGUGGGCAACCUACCUGUAAGACUGGGAUAACUCCGGGAAACCGGGGCUAAUACCGGAUGAAACAAAGCGUCGCAUGACGCAAUGUUAAAAGGCGGCAUAUGCUGUCACUUACAGAUGGGCCCGCGGCGCAUUAGCUAGUUGGUGAGGUAAAGGCUCACCAAGGCAACGAUGCGUAGCCGACCUGAGAGGGUGAUCGGCCACACUGGGACUGAGACACGGCCCAGACUCCUACGGGAGGCAGCAGUAGGGAAUCUUCCGCAAUGGACGAAAGUCUGACGGAGCAACGCCGCGUGAGUGAUGAAGGUUUUCGGAUCGUAAAACUCUGUUGUUAGGGAAGAACAAGUGCCAUUCGAAUAGGUUGGCACCUUGACGGUACCUAACCAGAAAGCCCCGGCUAACUACGUGCCAGCAGCGCGGUAAUAAC